CUUGAGUGCCAACAUCAUCGU
Molecule: non-coding RNA, 21 nt
Filed under: Arabidopsis thaliana (thale cress)
Lineage: Eukaryota; Viridiplantae; Streptophyta; Magnoliopsida; Brassicales; Brassicaceae
Source: RNAcentral